AUACGUAGGGGGCGAGCGUUGUCCGGAUUGACUGGGCGUAAAGGGCGCGUAGGCGGCCUGGUAAGUUAGGAGUGAAAUUCCAUUUUUCAAGGCAGGACGUGCUUUUAAAACUGUCGGGCUAGAGUGCAGUAGAGGAAAGCGGAAUUCCCAGUGUAGCGGUGAAAUGCGUAGAUAUUGGGAAGAACACCAGUGGCGAAGGCGGCUUACUGGGCUGUAACUGACGCUGAGGCGCGAAAGCGUGGGGAGCGAACAGGAUUAGAUACCCUGGUAGUCCACGCUGUAAACGAUGAAUGCUAGGUGUAGGGGGUAUCGACCCCUCCUGUGCCGGAGUAAACGCAUUAAGCAUUCCGCCUGGGGAGUACGGCCGCAAGGUUGAAACUCAAAUGAAUUGACGGGG
This 397-nucleotide ribosomal RNA is filed under the name uncultured bacterium. Its description in RNAcentral is "partial 16S ribosomal RNA". It matches the Rfam family "Bacterial small subunit ribosomal RNA", at positions 523 to 918 of the family's 1533-position model. The record is from RNAcentral.